GUAUUAAUAGUUCAGAGAUUAGAACGCCGGCCUUGUAAGCCGGAUGUCGGAGGUUAAAAUCCCCCUUAAUACU
This 73-nucleotide transfer RNA is filed under the name Epinephelus bleekeri (duskytail grouper). RNAcentral describes it as "tRNA-Thr". It matches the Rfam family "tRNA". From Rfam's summary of the family: Transfer RNA (tRNA) molecules are approximately 80 nucleotides in length. Their secondary structure includes four short double-helical elements and three loops (D, anti-codon, and T loops). Lineage: Eukaryota; Metazoa; Chordata; Actinopteri; Perciformes; Serranidae. The record is from RNAcentral.